Molecule: ribosomal RNA, 253 nt
Filed under: uncultured bacterium
Lineage: Bacteria
Description: partial 16S ribosomal RNA
Rfam family: Bacterial small subunit ribosomal RNA
Source: RNAcentral
UACGGGGGGGGCAAGCGUUGCUCGGAAUUACUGGGCGUAAAGGGCUCGUAGGCGGCCAACUAAGUCGGACGUGAAAUCCCCAGGCUCAACCUGGGAACUGCGUCCGAUACUGGAUGGCUUGAAUCCGGGAGAGGGAUGCAGAAUUCCAGGUGUAGCGGUGAAAUGCGUAGAUAUCUGGAGGAAUACCGGUGGCGAAGGCGGCAUCCUGGACCGGCAUUGACGCUGAGGAGCGAAAGCCAGGGGAGCAAACGGG